Non-coding RNA from Pelobates cultripes (western spadefoot toad), 107 nucleotides. NCBI's taxonomy places the organism in Eukaryota, Metazoa, Chordata, Amphibia, Anura, Pelobatidae. The record is from the annotation of a GenBank genome assembly.
GUGUGUGUGUGUGUGUGUAUUUAGCAGUCUGUGUGUGUAUUCAGCAGUCUGUUUGUGUAUUCAGCAGUCUGCUAAAUACAGACAGACUGCUAAAUACAGACAGACUG